GUUUUUUUUUUAGAUAAAACCAGGCAGUGGAGAUGUGGUAUGAUAGCAAAUAAGAUAACUAUCCAUCAGGAUCAAAUAAAGUGUAUGUAAGCAAUUAUAUGCUAUCGUACGGCCUUCAACAACGAAAACUCGUACCUUAUAGUCGGCUUUAAAAAGCACCGACCGAAAAAUGUGGAAGGAUUCAACAAGAAAACUAACGGC
Molecule: long non-coding RNA, 201 nt
Filed under: Mytilus galloprovincialis (Mediterranean mussel)
Lineage: Eukaryota; Metazoa; Mollusca; Bivalvia; Mytilida; Mytilidae
Source: RNAcentral